Molecule: long non-coding RNA, 579 nt
Filed under: Homo sapiens (human)
Lineage: Eukaryota; Metazoa; Chordata; Mammalia; Primates; Hominidae
Description: non-protein coding lnc-KHDRBS3-8:10
Source: RNAcentral
ACUCCGUGCUUGCCUAGCGACAUACUCACAACCACAUAGAUAAGGGGGAGUUGUGCAGACAGCUUUUCAGGGUUAAGCAAUUGACUAUCAAUCAAUAAUCUUUUAUGAAAGAAGAGAUGGUGCAGCACACGCAUGCCCAAUAUUAAGAGAGAGAAGACAUUUAUUGAGGCAAGCAGCUGGAGUGGACCUGCCCCCAUCACCAGGCCAGCUUCCCACCUGCACGUGCAGCUCUUUCUUCUUUUGCAGGAGGCUGGCUCUGCUCAUUAGACAUGCAACAAAGAGCUGGCCUGUGGAGCACACAUCCAUAUUCAUAACUCAAGUCAGCUGGAAAGUUGUACAUUUUUCUUUCUGGGAAGUCAUGGCGACAAAGACUGAAGACCCAGGCAGCACAAAUGUGAAUGAUGGAUCUCUUGGAAGAACAACAAAGACUGAAGUGAGUAUAUUUUAUGCUUGGAAAUGAGCAAAUCAUUCCUUUUGACAAGCCAUUGAUGUUGGGGUUCCAUGGAAAAGAGAAGGAGGUGAACAAAAGGAAGAAAUGCAGAGAAAAAUAUGGAAUAGAAAUAUGAGGGAAGAUAUUAG